UACGUAGGUGACCAGCGUUGUCCGGAUUUACUGGGCGUAAAGAGCGCGCAGGCGGUCGUUCAAGUCGAGUGUGAAAGCCCCCGGCUCAACUGGGGAGGGUCACUCGAUACUGAUCGACUUGAAGGCAGGAGAGGGAAGCGGAAUUCCCGGUGUAGUGGUGAAAUGCGUAGAUAUUCGCAAGAACACCAGCGGCGAAGGCGGCUCACUGGCCCGGUACUGACGCUGAGGUGCGAAAGCGUGGGGAGCAAACAGG
RNAcentral lists this ribosomal RNA (253 nucleotides) under uncultured bacterium. RNAcentral's name for it is "partial 16S ribosomal RNA". It matches the Rfam family "Bacterial small subunit ribosomal RNA", at positions 524 to 776 of the family's 1533-position model. The record is from RNAcentral.